GAUGAACGCUAGCGGCAGGCUUAAUACAUGCAAGUCGAGGGGCAGCAUGGGUAGCAAUACCUGAUGGCGACCGGCAAACGGGUGCGGAACACGUACGCAACCUUCCCAUAACUGGUGAAUAGCCCUCCGAAAGGAGGAUUAAUACACCGUAACAUAAUGAAGUGGCAUCACUUUAUUAUUAUAGCUCCGGCGGUUUUGGAUGGGCGUGCGCCUGAUUAGGUAGUUGGCGGGGUAACGGCCCACCAAGCCUGCGAUCAGUAACUGGUGUGAGAGCACGGCCAGUCACACGGGCACUGAGACACGGGCCCGACUCCUACGGGAGGCAGCAGUAAGGAAUAUUGGUCAAUGGACGAAAGUCUGAACCAGCCAUGCCGCGUGAAGGAUGAAGGUCCUCUGGAUUGUAAACUUCUUUUAUCUGGGACGAAAAAGGUNAUUCUUGAUCACCUGACGGUACCAGAGGAAUAAGC
This 467-nucleotide ribosomal RNA is filed under the name uncultured bacterium. Its description in RNAcentral is "bacterial SSU rRNA". It matches the Rfam family "Bacterial small subunit ribosomal RNA", at positions 28 to 491 of the family's 1533-position model. The record is from RNAcentral.